RNAcentral lists this ribosomal RNA (806 nucleotides) under Kocuria sp. Its description in RNAcentral is "bacterial SSU rRNA". It matches the Rfam family "Bacterial small subunit ribosomal RNA", at positions 67 to 883 of the family's 1533-position model. Lineage: Bacteria; Bacillati; Actinomycetota; Actinomycetes; Micrococcales; Micrococcaceae. The record is from RNAcentral.
CGAUGAUGCCCAGCUUGCUGGGCGGAUUAGUGGCGAACGGGUGAGUAAUACGUGAGUAACCUGCCCCUGACUCUGGGAUAAGCCUGGGAAACCGGGUCUAAUACUGGAUACGACCUCCUGCCGCAUGGUGGGGGGUGGAAAGGGUUUACUGGUUUUGGAUGGGCUCACGGCCUAUCAGCUUGUUGGUGGGGUAAUGGCUCACCAAGGCGACGACGGGUAGCCGGCCUGAGAGGGUGACCGGCCACACUGGGACUGAGACACGGCCCAGACUCCUACGGGAGGCAGCAGUGGGGAAUAUUGCACAAUGGGCGAAAGCCUGAUGCAGCGACGCCGCGUGAGGGAUGACGGCCUUCGGGUUGUAAACCUCUUUCAGUAGGGAAGAAGCGCAAGUGACGGUACCUGCAGAAGAAGCGCCGGCUAACUACGUGCCAGCAGCCGCGGUAAUACGUAGGGCGCAAGCGUUGUCCGGAAUUAUUGGGCGUAAAGAGCUCGUAGGCGGUUUGUCGCGUCCGCUGUGAAAGCCCGGGGCUCAACCCCGGGUCGGCAGUGGGUACGGGCAGACUAGAGUGCAGUAGGGGAGACUGGAAUUCCUGGUGUAGCGGUGAAAUGCGCAGAUAUCAGGAGGAACACCGAUGGCGAAGGCAGGUCUCUGGGCUGUUACUGACGCUGAGGAGCGAAAGCAUGGGGAGCGAACAGGAUUAGAUACCCUGGUAGUCCAUGCCGUAAACGUUGGGCACUAGGUGUGGGGGACAUUCCACGUCCUCCGCGCCGUAGCUAACGCAUUAAGUGCCCCGCCUGGGGAGUAC